GGUGCCAGUUCAAAUAGCAUGACCCUAAUCUAAUUCAAUGACUUGGUGAAGUCAGUAGAAAGAUUAUAGUUUACUGGUUGAUCUCUUCUCUUUUUUUAAUUCAUAAAUUAAAUCUUCUAAAUUAUUAGGUCUCUAAAAUAAGCUAGUUAUAGGGAUAACUAGAUCAUAGCUCCCAUUAAGGUGAAUGGUAAUGGAUCCAUUAUUUCUGAUUGACAAUACAGGCACCAUCCGUCU
Molecule: long non-coding RNA, 234 nt
Filed under: Elaeis guineensis (African oil palm)
Lineage: Eukaryota; Viridiplantae; Streptophyta; Magnoliopsida; Arecales; Arecaceae
Description: long non-coding RNA (EGUI_LNC047645)
Source: RNAcentral